GACGAACCGUGCGAACGUUGUUCGGAUUCACUGGGCUUAAAGGGCGCGUAGGCGGGUGACCAAGUCAGGGGUGAAAUCCCUCGGCUUAACCGGGGAACUGCGUCUGAUACUGGAUGGCUUGAGUUCGGGAGAGGGAUGCGGAAUUCCAGGUGUAGCGGUGAAAUGCGUAGAUAUCUGGAGGAACACCGGUGGCGAAGGCGGCAUCCUGGACCGACACUGACACUGAGGAGCGAAAGCCAGGGGAGCAAACGGG
Molecule: ribosomal RNA, 253 nt
Filed under: uncultured bacterium
Lineage: Bacteria
Description: partial 16S ribosomal RNA
Rfam family: Bacterial small subunit ribosomal RNA
Source: RNAcentral